CGUCACUAGCUUCAUUAGCUUCGGUUUAUAAAUAGGUGCUCACAACGAGCAACUUUUCUCAACUGCAGCUAACCGCUCCGCUUACAAGUUAGUGCUCGCGGUGCACAGCCAUGGGAUCCGGCUGCCACGCCACGGACGAGGCGCCAAACGGUUCCAAGGCGGUGAACCUCCUAUUCCGCCUGUCGACGAUGGCGUUCGCUCUGACCUCGGCGGUGGUCAUGGCCACUGCCAGCGAGUGCACCAUCUACGAGCCCCACGGCGCCAGGGUCACGGUCACCUUCAAAAACUACCCACCCUUCGUUUACCUGGUAU
Long non-coding RNA from Panicum virgatum (switchgrass), 312 nucleotides. RefSeq lists it as uncharacterized. NCBI's taxonomy places the organism in Eukaryota, Viridiplantae, Streptophyta, Magnoliopsida, Poales, Poaceae. The record is from RefSeq and is a predicted model, not a curated record. The transcript has 3 exons.